RNAcentral lists this unclassified non-coding RNA (354 nucleotides) under soil metagenome. Its description in RNAcentral is "partial contains 5.8S ribosomal RNA, internal transcribed spacer 2, and large subunit ribosomal RNA". The stretch from base 4 to 119 matches the Rfam family "5.8S ribosomal RNA", at positions 39 to 154 of the family's 154-position model. The record is from RNAcentral.
GAUAAGAACGCAGUGAAAUGCGAUAAGUAGUGUGAAUUGCAGAAUUCAGUGAAUCAUCGAAUCUUUGAACGCACAUUGCGCCUUCUAGUAUUCUGGGAGGCAUGCCUGUUUGAGCGUCAUUAAACCUCUCUCAAGUAUGAUUACUUGGAUGUGAAGGAAGAGUACCUUAAACUUAAGGAGUGUUCUCCUUUGAAAUUGAUUAGCAGAUGGUAAUGUUAUUAAAUCCCUGAUGUUGUAAGAAAUAACAGUGGUUUUGUAGACUAUUAUCUAGCUUUAAAUUAUAAUUUUUAUUAUGGUUGACCUCAAAUCAGGUAAGGAUACCCGCUGAACUUAAGCAUAUCAAUAAGCGGAGGA